UAGUCGGUAACCAGGUAGCCGUAUCGGAAGGUGCGGCUGGAUCACCUCCUUUCUCGAGCUAAUACCGCGAAAGUUGAGCGUUCACGCUUAUCGGCUGUAAAUCAAGACAGACUCAGGGGUCUGUAGCUCAGUCGGUUAGAGCACCGUCUUGAUAAGGCGGGGGUCGUUGGUUCGAAUCCAACCAGACCCACCAAUUGUCUGGCGGUAGAAACCUGAGACGUCUCUGUAUGGGGGCAUAGCUCAGCUGGGAGAGCACCUGCUUUGCAAGCAGGGGGUCGUCGGUUCGAUCCCGUCUGCCUCCACCAAUCUUCAAUGACAAACGUUCGGGUCAGUUGACUCGAGUCUUUGUCAUUGGCGAUUGAGCCAGUCAGAGGAUAUUGAAAGAUAUCGGCUGUCGUUCUUUAACAAUCUAGAAGAAGUAGUAAUUUGGAUAGCGGAAGCGUCUAUUGAGAUGGGCGUGGAAACUAUCCGGGUUGUGAUUGUAUCGAUGUAUCUCAAGAUGAUUCGAACUUCAUGUUCGGCUCAAUUGGAAUACGGCACAAAUGCGAGAACUCAACCUGUAGCGGCCUGUCAAGCGAAAGCGAGACAGACUCGUUAUAGGGUCAAGCGAACAAGUGCAUGUGGUGGUGCCUUUUGGCACAA
This 642-nucleotide unclassified non-coding RNA is filed under the name Burkholderia gladioli. RNAcentral describes it as "partial contains 16S ribosomal RNA, 16S-23S ribosomal RNA intergenic spacer, and 23S ribosomal RNA". The stretch from base 117 to 190 matches the Rfam family "tRNA". The record is from RNAcentral. Lineage: Bacteria; Pseudomonadati; Pseudomonadota; Betaproteobacteria; Burkholderiales; Burkholderiaceae.